UAACGCAGUUGUUGCUUCUUGGAUAGGACUGCUAAGAUCUGGAAAUCUAUUAGGAGGACUCCUAGCCGGUUUUCCCUUCAAUGCACUCUAAAUCAUCCGAGCAUCAAACAGAAUAACAAAUCAGAUGCAUAGAACUGACAUGUUCGGCGUCAUAAAAGAAAGAAAAAUUAGUCUUCCACUGGAGCCAAUGUUUUGAUCUCUGUGGAGACACCUUUACCCAUACAUUUUAGCAAGAGUCGAAAUUUUAAUUUCGUAAAGAAUCAUAACCAUGACAUUUUUUACUUGUCUAGACAAAAUAGGGAAGAAAACUGAAAUAGGAUUUGCAAAUUUUAAUGAUUAGAAAAACUUGACUGUAUUGUAACCAAAAAAAAAAGAAAAGAAAAACUUGACUGUACUGAAAUAUAUUAUACUUACAAAUAUCACAACCAUAAAAAGUAGGGGGAAUGGACUUAAGGAAAUAGAAUAAAUAUCUAAAUGAAAAAAUAUCAGUAAAUCAACUAUGUUUUUUGUAAUAGACUCUGAAAAUCAUGCCAU
This 534-nucleotide long non-coding RNA is filed under the name Trifolium pratense (red clover). Its description in RNAcentral is "long non-coding RNA (TPRA_LNC010494)". The record is from RNAcentral. Lineage: Eukaryota; Viridiplantae; Streptophyta; Magnoliopsida; Fabales; Fabaceae.